This 2207-nucleotide small RNA is filed under the name Arabidopsis thaliana (thale cress). Its description in RNAcentral is "ATSL095740". Lineage: Eukaryota; Viridiplantae; Streptophyta; Magnoliopsida; Brassicales; Brassicaceae. The record is from RNAcentral.
UAGAAAAUAACUUUUAGUUUCAGCAAGUGUCGAUUGACAAAACAUGGUCUGUCAAAACUCCUAGGAAGUAUGUUGUUGGAUAUAGUAUGAUGUUGGACAAAGUAAGCUGUUGGAUAAAGUUUAUAGGAUAUGAUCUACUUUCACGGUUCCACUUUUUGGAAUGUGGUUAUGAUAUGUUAAUUACUUGACUUUCACAACUGUUGGCUCAAGAAAAGCACUUUCAGGGUUUGGGCGAGUUAUAACAAAGUGAUGGCUGAGUUAUGCCUUUAUUGUGGCUGAGUUAUGUUAGAAGAUUUCGAUUGUUCGAACUACAUAAGAGAAAACCAAAUGUUAUUAUGAGAUUUGAAUACAAGCAUUAUUGUUGGUUCGAUCGAUGUCAUCAAAUCAGUCAGAAUAUUGCUGUGUUUUGCUUUUGCGGAGUUUAUCGAGAAACAAUUAUUAUGUUAUUCUCGAGAUUAAAAAAAUGAGUUAAUAGGGAACCGCGAAUAAUGAUUGGUUUCAUAGAUGCACGAACACGUCAAUAUUUAAAAUAAUUCAACCGAGUUCGAAAUUAUUCCUUAACUAAACCCUCCAAUAAUCAAAUUUUCUGUUUCGACGUGGAAUAAAAUAACGUUACGGCUGAGUUAUGCAAUAAGAUUUCGUGUUUUGGCCGAGUUAUGAGAUACCAUAUGUUAUUAUGAUAUACCAAACCAGCCACCAAAUUGUUGGUUAUAUUAGUAGCGUGAAGAUGUGCAAUUUGAAAACAGAAAAUAACUUUUAGUUUCAGCAAGUGUCGAUUGACAAAACAUGGUCUGUCAAAACCUCUAGGAAGUAUGUUGUUGGAUAUAGUAUGAUGUUGGACAAAGUAGGCUGUUGGAUAAAGUUUAUAGGAUAUGAUCUACUUUCACGGUUCCACUAUUUGGAAUGUGGUUAUGAUAUGUUAAUUACUUGAUUUUCACAACUGUUGGCUCAAGAAAAGCACUUUCAGGGUUUGGCCGAGUUAUAACAAAGUAAUGGCUAAGAAAUUCCUUUAUUGUGGCUGAGUUAUGUUAGAAAGUUCUCGAAAAAUAUUCUCCGCUACGUCAGAUACGACGUCGGUUUGUUACAGAGUCUCCGUUAUUGACUAGAUACGUCGUCGUUGUGACAAAAACCAAAUGAACAUGGACACACUUAUAAAUCCCCAAAACGAAACCCUAAGUUAUAAAAUUCCAAUUUCUGAUUUCAGAUCCGGAGCUCUUUCUUGCUUUUCGUCUCCGAAUUUUCCAGCUAAAAAUUAAAGAAAUGAGUAGCAAUUUCGAUAACUCGAUUGCGAGUACGCAAUCCGUCAGCCGUUGGGGACGUGGGUUACCAUCGAAGUGUAAUUGCGGAUUAGACGUGGUCAUCUAUACAUCGACGUCAGGAAGGAACCCUGGAAGACCAUACUUCCGUUGUCCUACUCGUAAAGAUGUAAGUAUAUAAUUGAUUUGAGGGUUUUAUUGGUUUCGUUGUUAAUUGCGGAUGUGAUUGAAUAUACAGGACCAUUUGUUUAAAUGUGUCGAAGAUGGUACAUACGAAGUGGUUGUAGACAGUUGGCCAAAAUUGUCCGGCUUCGACAGUGAGUUAAGCGCGGCCAAGUCCGAGGUUUCUGUCGAGCUAGAAGCGUUACAGGCGAUGGUGAAAGAACUGAAGGAAGAAGUGAUGAGGAGCGAAAGGGAAAACCAGAAAUGGAAAUUGAUGAUCAAACUUUGCUGCUUUUGUCUUGCCUUUAUUAUCAUUGUCAUUGUUUUUGGUAUCUUAAUGUUCCCAAAAAUCAACGAACAGAGGCUUUUUCUUGGCUACUAGUUUGUCUUAUGUUUGUAUGAAUUGUUUGCUACUGGAAUCUAUUAUGUGUUUGAUGUUUAUCUCAGCGUAUAGGGUUAAUUCGUUUUUUUGGUUCAAGUAGUAGCUUGCAAUGAAAUGGAACUUUGUCUUCGGCCAAGCUAAUCCAAUAUCGUUGACUGAGUUAUACUGGUAAUGUUGUGGCUGAGUUAAUCAUGGCUGAGUUAAUAUCUGUUGUGUCUUCGGAAAUAUAGGUUACGGCUGAGUUAUUAUAAUGUUUUGGAUGAGUUAAUUAUACGCUAUGACUGAGUUAAUCAUACGCUAUGACUGAGUUAUGAUAAAAUUUAACAAGUAACCUCAAGCGAUAACCGCAGACUUUACUGAGAAGGCGAAGGCGAUCGUAGAUAAUAUGAGAUAUAAAGCCAUCACAA